UACGGGGGGAGCAAGCGUUGUUCGGAUUUACUGGGCGUAAAGGGCGCGUAGGCGGCCUCCGCAAGUCGACUGUGAAAUCUCCGGGCUUAACCCGGAACGGUCAGCCGAUACUGCGGGGCUAGAGUGCAGAAGGGGCAACUGGAAUUCUCGGUGUAGCGGUGAAAUGCGUAGAUAUCGAGAGGAACACCUGCGGCGAAGGCGGAUUGCUGGGCUGACACUGACGCUGAUGCGCGAAAGCUAGGGGAGCGAACGGG
RNAcentral lists this ribosomal RNA (254 nucleotides) under uncultured bacterium. RNAcentral describes it as "partial 16S ribosomal RNA". It matches the Rfam family "Bacterial small subunit ribosomal RNA", at positions 524 to 776 of the family's 1533-position model. The record is from RNAcentral.